GUUCUUUUACCAAUCACCCUAUCUCUAAUUUUGUAUCGUAUAAUAAAUUGUCCUUCUCCUUUCCUUUUUCUUUGUCAUUAUCCUCUAUUGCUCUUUCUAAGUCCUACAGGGAGGCACUUUUUCAUCCAGGGUGGAGGAAAGCUAUGGAAGAAGAAAUAAACACUUUAAGAUUGAAUCAUACUUGGGACCUUGUUCCUAAGCCUGCUGAUACUUAGGUUGUUGGUUGUCGUUGGGUUUUUACUGUUAAACAGAAGCCUGAUGGUAGUAUUGAUCGUCUCAAAGCUCGACUUGUUGCUAAAGGCUACACUCAGACUUAUGGCUUUGAUUAUACUGAGACGUUCUCUCUUGUGGCCAAACUGAAUUCUGUUCGUAUGAUAAUCUCUCUUGCAGCUAAUCUAGACUGUCACCUUCAUCAACUUGAUGUUAAAAAUGCCUUUCUGCACGGUGACCUUAACGAGAUAGUCUAUAUGACUCAAUCACCUAGGUUUGAGUAUAAGGGGGAGUGUGUGUCAUCUCAAGAAGUCUAUCUAUGGCCUUAAAUAGUCCCCUCGUGGAUGGUUUGAUAAGUUUUGUAAAGCAGUGGUAGCUCAUGGUAUGACCAGAAGCCAAGUUGACUACUCUCUCUUUUUUAAGAAAACGAAACGUGGUAUUGUGAUUCUUGUGGUGUAUGUAGAUGAUAUUGUUAUCACUCGCAGUGACAAAGAUGGGAUACAAGUUUUAAUCCAUCACUUGAGUUCUAGCUUCCUUACUAAGGAUUUGGGCAAACUUCGGUAUUUUCUACGAAUUGAGGUGGCUUGGUCAAAGCAAGGCAUUAGUCUUUCUCAGCGGAAGUAUACUCUUGAUCUCUUACCGGAUACUGGAUAUCUUGGUUUGAAACUUGUAUCUACACCCAUGAAGACUAAUGUAAAACUUAAGGUGGAUGAUGGUGACCCACUCGAUGAUCCAGAGAUGUAUCGGAGACUUGUAGUUAGUGUUGUGAGCUAGUUCAUGACCAGUCCUCAGGUACCUCACAUGGAGGCGGUUGUACGCAUCUUGAAGUAUCUCAAGGGUGCUCCAGGACGUGGUCUGCUUUAUUGAUCUUCUGGACAUCUUCGGAUUGAGGGAUAUACAGAUGCAGAUUGGGCUUGUUCUCCUUCUGAUCGAUUGUCCACCACGGGUUAUUGAACCUUCAUAUGAGGAAAUCUAGUAACUUGGAGGAGUAAGAAACAGUCAGUUGUGGCUCGUUCCAGUGUUGAAGCAGAGUAUCGUACCAUGACACACUGCCUGUGGACUUACUUGGUGGAAAACUCUUUUACAGGAACUUGAGAUUUCAGUCCAGUACCCAUUUCCUCUCCAUUUUGACAAUCAGGCAACUAUUCAUAUUGCUAGCAAUCCAGUCUACCAUGAGAGGACUAAACACAUUGAAGUAGAUUGCCAUCUCAUUCGAUCUAAAGUUGACUCGAAUGAGAUUGUUACACCUUUUGUUCCUUUUGGCAGACAGCUGGCAGACAUCUUCACUAAGGCACUUCCUAAGAACUCUAUUGAUUUUAUAUGUAGCAAGCUGGGAGUUUUUGAUAUUUACUCUCCAGCAGUGUUGUAUGAGUUGUCACACGUGUAUAGUUAGUAUUGUAUGAGUUGUCACCUACCCCUCAUUACCAUAUAUAGAAUUACCAUGUAUAGGGUUUUCUUGUUCUCCACUCACCUACUCCCGUGGCUUCUCCUAUAUAAACACUAUUAUAUUAUUGUAUUACAGACUCAAUAACAUAUACGUUUUCAUAUAUUCUUUCCCUCUCUCUCUCUCUUUCAACAUCAGCUGUGGCGCAAGUAGCGCUUUUCUCGGCUGGUUCGAUUUCUGAAAUUCUUAGACAGAAUAGCCUCGCCACUUGGCGAACCAAAGACAUCCAAAGAGAGAGCCUUGCAUUGUGAUUUUUAAACUUUAGCACUAAUAUUUUUUCAAUCUCUAUUUCCAUCAUUAGUAUAUUGGCUAUGUGCUUUCUAAUAGACAUAUUCAACAAUAUAAAUAAAAAUGAUGACAACAAUAAACAAAAUAUAUAAUUUUAUAAUAAAAUUAAUAAAAUUAUAAACUAAUUUAAGUUAUAGAACAAUAGAAACUGAUUUUGAAAAUUUUGGUCCAAUGAUCCAACAAAUUCUUCAAUAGAAUAGAAGUGUUGUAUUCAAAGUCUUAUUGUGAGAUUGUAAAUUGUAAGAGUGGAGAAGAUGAAAAGAAAAAGGUUCUAAUGAGAAGAGAAAAAAUAUGUGAGAAAUAAGAAAAAAAGAGAA
Molecule: long non-coding RNA, 2259 nt
Organism: Cornus florida
Lineage: Eukaryota; Viridiplantae; Streptophyta; Magnoliopsida; Cornales; Cornaceae
Exons: 2
Source: RefSeq, a predicted model, not a curated record